GAUGAACGCUGGCGGCGUGCCUAAUACAUGCAAGUCGAGCGAACAGACGAGGAGCUUGCUCCUCUGACGUUAGCGGCGGACGGGUGAGUAACACGUGGAUAACCUACCUAUAAGACUGGGAUAACUUCGGGAAACCGGAGCUAAUACCGGAUAAUAUAUUGAACCGCAUGGUUCAAUAGUGAAAGACGGUUUUGCUGUCACUUAUAGAUGGAUCCGCGCCGCAUUAGCUAGUUGGUAAGGUAACGGCUUACCAAGGCAACGAUGCGUAGCCGACCUGAGAGGGUGAUCGGCCACAAUGGAACUGAGACACGGUCCAGACUCCUACGGGAGGCAGCAGUAGGGAAUCUUCCGCAAUGGGCGAAAGCUUGACGGAGCAACGCCGCGUGAGUGAUGAAGGUCUUCGGAUCGUAAAACUCUGUUAUUAGGGAAGAACAAAUGUGUAAGUAACUAUGCACGUCUUGACGGUACCUAAGCAGAAAGCCACGGCUAACUACGU
Molecule: ribosomal RNA, 496 nt
Filed under: uncultured bacterium
Lineage: Bacteria
Description: partial 16S ribosomal RNA
Rfam family: Bacterial small subunit ribosomal RNA
Source: RNAcentral